This 484-nucleotide ribosomal RNA is filed under the name uncultured bacterium. RNAcentral's name for it is "partial 16S ribosomal RNA". It matches the Rfam family "Bacterial small subunit ribosomal RNA", at positions 29 to 507 of the family's 1533-position model. The record is from RNAcentral.
AUUGAACGCUGGCGGCAUGCUUUACACAUGCAAGUCGAACGGCCGCGCGGGCUUCGGCCUGGCGGCGAGUGGCGAACGGGUGAGUAAUACAUCGGAACGUGCCCAGUAGUGGGGGAUAGCUCGGCGAAAGCCGGAUUAAUACCGCAUACGACCUGAGGGUGAAAGCGGGGGAUCUUCGGACCUCGCGCUAUUGGAGCGGCCGAUGGCAGAUUAGCUAGUUGGUGGGGUAAAGGCCUACCAAGGCGACGAUCUGUAGCUGGUCUGAGAGGACGACCAGCCACACUGGAACUGAGACACGGCCCAGACUCCUACGGGAGGCAGCAGUGGGGAAUUUUGGACAAUGGGCGAAAGCCUGAUCCAGCAAUGCCGCGUGUGUGAUGAAGGCCUUCGGGUUGUAAAGCACUUUUGGCGGGAACGAAAAGGACUGUGCCAAUACCACGGUUCGAUGACGGUACCCGCAGAGUAAGCACCGGCUAACUACGUG